RNAcentral lists this ribosomal RNA (618 nucleotides) under Ravinia derelicta. RNAcentral describes it as "eukaryotic LSU rRNA". It matches the Rfam family "Eukaryotic large subunit ribosomal RNA", at positions 688 to 1241 of the family's 3401-position model. Lineage: Eukaryota; Metazoa; Arthropoda; Insecta; Diptera; Sarcophagidae. The record is from RNAcentral.
CAGUUAUUGGGUAUCAAAACCUAAUAGCGAAAUUAACAUAACUUAUUAUGGGAUUAGUUUUUAGAUUAUUUAUAGUCUAUUAAUUCAAUCCCGGGGCGUUCUAUUUGGUUAUGUAUAAUAAUAUUUAUAUUAUUUAUACCUCUAACUAGAGCGUACCUUGAGCAUAUAUGCUGUGACCCGAAAGAUGGUGAACUAUACUUGAUCAGGUUGAAGUCAGGGGAAACCCUGAUGGAAGACCGAAACAGUUCUGACGUGCAAAUCGAUUGUCAGAAUUGAGUAUAGGGGCGAAAGACCAAUCGAACCAUCUAGUAGCUGGUUCCCUCCGAAGUUUCCCUCAGGAUAGCUGGUGCAUUUAGAAAUUAUGUAAAAUAAUCUUAUCUGGUAAAGCGAAUGAUUAGAGGCCUUAGGGUCGAAACGACCUUAACCUAUUCUCAAACUUUAAAUGGGUAAGAACCUCACCUUUCUUGGUAUGAAGGUUGUGGUUGUGAUAUAAUGUGCCCAGUGGGCCACUUUUGGUAAGCAGAACUGGCGCUGUGGGAUGAACCAAACGUAAUGUUACGGUGCCCAAAUUAACAACUCAUGCAGAUACCAUGAAAGGCGUUGGUUGCUUAAAACAGC